CGCCUCCGGGGCCGCCCGGGGGUGGAGCAGGGCGGGGAGUUCGGGAAACUUGUAAAUAGCCGAACUCGGGCCUCCCGCCCCAACCCGGGGCGGCUCCUUCCGAAGGCUCCCCUCCAGCAACUCGCUGCGGGAGACCAAGGCCAGCCGCCGUCCCAGGGGACGGCCCUCGGGGAACCUCAAUGACGUGCGAGGCCGUACCUCGGGGCGUUGGACUCCGCUUGGCCGCUCCCGCCCUCCGCUCGCGCUCUCGGGUCCCAAUCCCGACGCUCCGCGCGCUCCCGGGGCAUCUAGAACACUGAGAAAUCCAGGAUGGACACUUAACACUACCAAAGAUUGAUCUAUUUUGGGUAAGUAUACUUCUGAUCUCUUUUUGAGGACUGUAUUAGUCCGUUUUCACACUGCUAUAAAGAACUGCCUGAGGCUGGGUAAUUUAUAAAGGAAAGAGUUUUCAUUGACUCAGAGUUCUGCAUGGCUGGGGAGGCCUCAGGAAACUUAACAGUUAUGGCAGAAGGCAAAGGAGAAGCAGGUACCUUCUUUACAAGGCGGCAGAAGAGACAGAGAGGGCAGGGGAAACUGCCAUUUUUAAGCUAUCAGAUCUUGUCAGAACUCCGUCACUAUCACGAGAACAGCAUGAGGGAAACUGCCCCCAUGACCCAAUCACCUCCCACCAUCCCCCGCUCAACACGUGGGGAUGACAAUUCAAGAUGGAAUUGUGUGGGGACACAGAGCCAAACCAUAUCAAGUACCUACAAAAUUAUGGUGACUCUUCACUAAUUUGCCAACUGAUUAUCUGCAAAUCUUAAAUAGAGAAUAAAACACAAAAAUAUCAUUAUCCCUCCAGAACUGAGGACGCAAAUUGGAUUUAGAAGACUUAGCUUUGACACCUAGAUAUGUUUUCAUUGAUUUGACCUAACUUGAUCUCAGUUUCUCUUUUAUAGAAUUAGUUCUUUAGAUCAGAGGUCCCCAACCCCGGGACUGCGGACUGCCACUGGUCUUUGGCCUGUCAGGCACCCGGCCACACAGCUGGAGUGUGAAAAAAAAGGAAAAAACUGAAAAUCUCAAGAGGAUUCCAGGAAAUCAAAACAAUGAAUUAUUGAAUAAAGAGUUUGAAAGAGAAAAUAGAUGCAUACUGAAAAAAGAAUUUUGUUUAGUGAGAUAGAUGUAAUAAUGAAGGCAUGUUGAUAACGGGGGAGCUAUGUAUAUAUGAGGGGAGAGAUAUGUUGGAAAUCUCUGUAUCUUCCUCUCAAUCUUGCUGUGAUCCUAAAACUGCUCUAAAAAAUAUUUUGAGAAGGAAUAAUGAUGUAGUAAACAUGUUCUGUUAUUUAAAAAGAGAGACUUUUCAUAGCCGCCUCCCUCCCCCUCUACACACACACAGAGUCCUGUCCGUCUUCAUUCCCUUACUCAAUAAUUUGUACAGACACAACCACUGGGCUCCAGUAAUCCUAAAGUUUCUAGAAAAUCAAGCACAGAAAAAGGUUAAAACCCUGAAGGAAUAAAAGAAUUCCUUUGCAUCCAUUGCAUUUCUCAGGAAGUGAACUAACAAAUUCACUGCUUUUAAAUGAGGAAAUUUUCUCAAUGAAAUUGAUUCCAAACCUUCGUUAGGUCAACUGUUCCCAGACUUCUUAGCUGGUGCCUGAUCUGACUAUGCCUUAUCUUUAGUACAGAAACCAAGGUGAAUGACCUUUAAAAAACAUAUUAGACUGUUGACGUGUCUUCUAUGUUGUACUCUAGGUAAAAACGAUAAACCAGGAAAAAGAAAGUAAAAUUCAACCUUAGGUUCAUGGAUCCAGAGUGGAUAAUUAUGAGUCUGUAGUAUCUACAUGCAUGUGAUGAGGUUCAAGGACAAUAACCAUAAAGCAAAGACUUAAAAAGUUUUAUCAUUAGAAUAAUUGUAAUUCACUUGAUCUCUCAAUGUAACAAAAUACUUCGGUCUACUGUCUCAAGCCAUUAUUAUGUCUUACGCUCAGCAUAUUGGUUUGUCUACCAUUAAAUAUUUAUUUUCUACAGUGCUUUCUGGAAGGCAAACAAAGCAGCCACUCUGCUACUUUAUAUUGAUUCCUGAGUUGUCCUUAGGAAACGCUUUCAGGAAGUUUAAUAGGUUUGAAAGAUAUUUAGACCUGUGACUGGCAAAUAUACUUCCUUCUUUUUAUUUCAAUAAGAGAGUACUAGAACUUAGAUCUUUAUUGUUUAAUCUAGUCAGUGCUGUCACUGUCAAUCAAGUUCUCAAAUGACACUUGUUCUGAGCUGUAACUGAUCUAUUCAGAAGAAUAUGAAAAUAGUAAAGACGGCAACUAUGCAUGUUUUUACCGGACACGAUUUUAAUUGCUUUAAAAUGAAGUUAUGCAACCAACGAGGAGUGGAGCUUUUGGAGUGGCCUGAAGCUAAAGGUUUCAGGUGUAUUUUUGCUUUCUUUGAAGAAAGAACUAAAUCAUUUUAUUUAAUAAAAAGGCCGUUUAUCAAGAAUUACUUAAAGCUGUUUUAAACUCGAGUUUACAAUUUAUAGAAUAUGUUCAAGCAGCCUCAGUGCCCUUUUAAUUGGAUGGUUUUCACAGAUUUAUCCAAUUUGAGAUUUAUCCAGUGAGAAUUCCCUUUGUUCAAGUAUGUAUGUCUUCUCUUCCAUAAAGCAGAUUCAAAUGAAAGAGUGCAAUCUGAUAUAUCAGACAUGUCAGUUAUACAUUUGAUGUGGUAAAUUUAUAAGAGAGGCCAAUUAUUGUUAUGAAAAAAUACAAUGAAAUACAUGAUAGUCAUUUACUGUUUUUAUAACUAAUCUAAAAGUAUUUACUAAAAAGAAACUAUUUCUUUUCAUAUGUACUUUACUUUUUACUUUAACCCUUCAUAUGUCCUUUAAAUAAAGAGAAGAAAAAAAGUCAUUUAUAUUUAUCCACAUAUUUUCUAUUUCAGGUGUCCUGAUUCAUUCUUGUAGAUCCAAGUUACCAUCUGUUAUUAUUUUCUUUGUCACCUGAAGAAUUUUCAGACCUAUUUCUUCCUAUAUGUAGCAUGUAUAGAUACUCUAAAAAGUCCAUUAUAUGAUGUAUAAAACAAAGCAUACAAUGUAGUCUCUGCCCUAAUUAUUUGUAAUUUAUAUAAAACCUUUUGUUAUUUUUUAUUUUUAAUUUUUUAUUUUAUUUUAUUUUGUUUUAUGUUUUUGAGAUAGAGUCUUGCUCUGUUGCCCAGACUGGAGUGCAAUAGCGUGGUCUUGGCUCACUGCAACCUCUGCCUCCCAGGCUCAAGUGAUUCUCCUGCCUCAGCUUCUCCAAUAGCUGGGAUUACAGGCAGCACCACCAUGCCUGGCUAAUUUUUGUAUUCUUAGUAGAAACGGGGUUCACCUUGUUGGCGAGGCUGGUCUUGAACUCCUGACCUCAGGUAAUCUGUCCGCCUUGGCCUCCCAAACUGUUGGGAUUACAGAUGUGAGCCACUGCACCCAGCCUAAUUGGUUAUUUUAUUAUUUAGACUCCACAUAUCAAUUUUCUUACUAUGGCGAUAUGAAAUAGCAAUUAACCUUGAAAUAUCAUUUAUUUUUCCCUAUUACUACAUUUCCCUUAAGAACUACAAUAAAUUAUUUUACUUAAAAACAUUGUCCUUAACGUACCAUGAGCUAAUCAUUCAAGAAUUGUGACUAAAUUAUCUAAAUUAUUUCAGUGUAAUCACCUGAGGUUCUAGGUAAGCCCUCCUUCUCAUUCUCUGCUUCACACAUGCCAACGAUUAAAAGAUCAGAUUAUCAGCCAGGCGCGGUGGCUCAUGCCUGUAAUCCCAGCACUUUGGGAGGCCGAGGUGGGUGGAUCAGGAGGUCAGGAGUUCCAGACCAGCCUGGCCAACACAGUGAAACCCCCGUCUCUACUGAAAAUACAAAAAAAAUUAGCUGAGUGUGGUGGCAGUCACCUGUACUCCCAGCUACUCAGGAGGCUGAGGCAGAAGAAUCACUUGAACUUGCAGUGAGCUGAGAAUACGCCAUUGCACUCCAGUCCGAGCAACAGUGCGAGACUCUGUCUCAAAAAAAAAAAAAAAAAGAUCACAUUAUCUUUAAGUAAAAAAAAGUAGUCAACUGGAGUUCCACUUUUGGUAAUGGUAGGGUAGCUGGCAUCAAACUAGAUCUCCUGCAGAUCAAAAUUAUAUACUGUGAAAAAAAUGUAAAUAAUGUCUAUCUGAAGGCACUGGAGGGUGUCUAGAAGCAGGCAGAAAUAAGAACGGAAUCCUUUAAAGAAGGGAACUAUAUAUGGUUUUUCAGUUGAGGAUACUCCCCAGACCUUGUGGUAGAAAGAAGCUAGAACUGAAGCUAAAACCACAAUUUUAAUUGCUUGAAGAGUUAAAGGACAGAAUUUGGGACUGCCAGUAUAGCUGGAUUAUGAGGAGAGAAAUUUCAGAAAGAUGGUAGCCACAGAUAUGGGAGCCUCUAAAUCCAUGUGUAAACUCUCUACACACAUUCCUGCAGAUCUCUGAACUGUGUGUUGUGUAGGAGACUCCAAGGAACCCAACCAGGAGGCUGAAAAACUGAGUAGAGAUUUCAGCUAAUGCCUUAACAAGGGAGAAAAAAUUUGGGGUUUGAGUCCAGCUAGGUAACUGCCUGCUAAAACAAAACUCAACACUCAGCCAAAAAAUAAGAAAAUCAAGAGUAUGUAAAAUGUAUCAUCAAAUGCACCAGAUGCAAUCAAAACUUACUAGACAUGCAUGCAAAGAAACAGCAUAUCUCUUGACCCAGAGUCAAGAAAAAUUCAAUCAAUAGAAAUCUAUCCCAAUAUGUCUCAGAUGUUGGAAUUAACAGAAAAGAUCUUUUUAAAACUGUUUUAAAUAUAUUUAAGAUCUUAAAAGAUAAUAUCAGUGGAAAAA
This is a long non-coding RNA of Gorilla gorilla gorilla (western lowland gorilla), 4824 nucleotides long. RefSeq lists it as uncharacterized. The record is from RefSeq and is a predicted model, not a curated record. The transcript has 3 exons. NCBI's taxonomy places the organism in Eukaryota, Metazoa, Chordata, Mammalia, Primates, Hominidae.